GGUGGCAAGCAGGCUCCCAACCAUUGUAGCCCACAGUUAUUUCAGUAAACGUGGGCCUCUCUCCAGGGCACCCACCACUAACCAGGAAAUCAUCACUUCCAAGGUCCCAGGGCCUCAUAGCAGCACCGACUGACGGCUCAUACCAAAGUCUGUCUUUUCUGACAGCACUUGUAGAGACCCUCCACAUGACCUGUCAGCUGCCUGGGAACAGGAACCACUGUUUAGAGAUCCCAGAGACGGACUGCUUCCUGAAAAUAGUGUGAUUCUUUAUAGAACUCUGCCUCCUCGACUUCUCUGAAUCAAGCUGGGUUCACAGGGCUUCUGUGGCCAACCCUUGAACCUCUAGUUCCUUCACCAGCCAGUGCAACAAGGGGCAGAUGGCUUCCUAGUAGUCCAGUGGGUGAUGAUGAUGACGAUGACGACGAUGGCGGUCAUCACUGUGUCCAUUUUACAAAUGGAGAAACAAGGACUUACAGAUGCUUACCCUCACCUCCUCGUGCAGACCUGGAGACCUUGUUUAACAAAGAGCAAUGCCCAUAUUGCACUGACUUGGUGUGAUUCUUCAGAACCCUGGGAGAGAUACUGAUGGUCUCCUCUGAAGGAAAAGUAAAGUGGUGCUGAUGAGCUACUCUCAACCACAAAGACAAGGACAACUGGAGCAGGCACCUUAGACCCAUGUGGGGCCAGCUGGGAAUCUGGGUGAUGGCAUGAAGUGGAACCCAACUUUCUGUCCUGGUCUGUUGUUGAAGUAAGCUGCCACAUGAAGAGACCCAUGGGUCAAAGAACUGAGUGUGGCCACUAGCCAGCAUCCAACAGUUGCUGAAGCCUGACAGUCCACAAGGAAAUGAAUCCUGCCAACAACACAUGAACUUGGAAAUGGAUCUUACCCAGUUGAGCUUCCAAUGAACCAGAGCCCUGGCAACACUACGAUUGCAGCCUCACAAGAGACCUUGAAACAAAGGACCAAGGUAAUGUUGCCAAAAUUCCUGACUUGCAUCAACUAUGUGAUAAUAUAUAUGUGUUGUUUUA
Mustela erminea (ermine) is the source of this 1029-nucleotide long non-coding RNA. RefSeq lists it as uncharacterized. Lineage: Eukaryota; Metazoa; Chordata; Mammalia; Carnivora; Mustelidae. The record is from RefSeq and is a predicted model, not a curated record. The transcript has 5 exons.